Lethenteron reissneri (Far Eastern brook lamprey) is the source of this 433-nucleotide long non-coding RNA. RefSeq lists it as uncharacterized. The record is from RefSeq and is a predicted model, not a curated record. NCBI's taxonomy places the organism in Eukaryota, Metazoa, Chordata, Hyperoartia, Petromyzontiformes, Petromyzontidae.
UCUGUCUCUCUCCUCUCUUGCUCUCUGCCUCUCUCUAUGUCUCUCUCUCUGUCUCUCUGUCUCUCUCUCCUCUGUCUGUCUCCCUACCCGGUGUCUCCGCUGCGUCUGCAGAGCGCUACAUCCUGCACGGCAAGGAGACCCACGACAUCCUCCACAAGUUGACCGCCAGCGGCAAGAAGCUCUUCCUCAUCACAACAGCCCCUUCAGCUUCGUCGACAAGGGCAUGCGGUACAUGGUGGGGAAGGACUGGAGGGACCUCUUUGACGUGGUCAUCGUGAAGGCCGACAAACCGAGCUUCUUCAACGACAAGCGGAAACCGUUCCGCCGGCUGGACGCGCAGGGUGGACUCCAGUGGGACCGCAUCACGGCUCUGCACAAGGGCGAGGUGUACAAGCAGGGCAACCUGUACGAGUUCAUGCGGCUCACGGGCUGG